UCCAGGUUAACCCUGGCAGUCUUCCUAGAGUGCCCAACUUAAUGCUGGCAACUAAGAACAGGGGUUGCGCUCGUUGCGAGACUUAACCCAACAUUUCACAACACGAGCUGACGACAGCCAUGCAGCGCCUGUCUCUACAUUCCCCGAAGGGCACUCCCACAUCUCUGCGGGAUUCGUAGGAUUUCAAACCCAGGUAAGGUUUUGCGCGUUGCUUCGAAUUAAACCACAUAAUCCACCGCUUGUGCGGGCCCCCGUCAAUUCCUUUGAGUUUUAGUCUUGCGACCGUACUCCCCAGGCGGAGCACUUAAUGCGUUUGCUUCGUCACAGAAGGGGUUAAUACCUCCUACAACUAGUGCUCAUCGUUUACGGCGUGGACUAC
RNAcentral lists this unclassified non-coding RNA (379 nucleotides) under uncultured Bacteriovoracaceae bacterium. Its description in RNAcentral is "contains 16S-23S intergenic spacer region". The record is from RNAcentral. Lineage: Bacteria; Pseudomonadati; Bdellovibrionota; Bacteriovoracia; Bacteriovoracales; Bacteriovoracaceae.